This 404-nucleotide ribosomal RNA is filed under the name Actinomycetes bacterium. RNAcentral's name for it is "Actinobacteria bacterium partial 16S ribosomal RNA". It matches the Rfam family "Bacterial small subunit ribosomal RNA", at positions 355 to 776 of the family's 1533-position model. Lineage: Bacteria; Bacillati; Actinomycetota; Actinomycetes. The record is from RNAcentral.
UGGGGAAUAUUGGACAAUGGGCGCAAGCCUGAUCCAGCCAUGCCGCGUGAGUGAUGAAGGCCCUAGGGUUGUAAAGCUCUUUCACCGGUGAAGAUAAUGACGGUAACCGGAGAAGAAGCCCCGGCUAACUUCGUGCCAGCAGCCGCGGUAAUACGAAGGGGGCUAGCGUUGUUCGGAUUUACUGGGCGUAAAGCGCACGUAGGCGGACUAUUAAGUCAGGGGUGAAAUCCCGGGGCUCAACCCCGGAACUGCCUUUGAUACUGGUAGUCUUGAGUUCGAAAGAGGUGGGUGGAGUUCCGAGUGUAGAGGUGAAUUUCGUAGAUAUUCGGAGGAACACCAGUGGCGAAGGCGGCUCACUGGCUCGAUACUGACGCUGAGGUGCGAAAGCGUGGGGAGCAAACAGG